GUUUAUACCAAAUCCAAUUAAGAACCACGCACUGCACCUGGCUGUUGCGUCAGCGGACUCCAGUUCUAAUCCAAAGCCCGGAGGCGCUUAGAAAACCUGAGCGCCAGGCUACAGCCUCGCUUGGGAGGAGGCUCCGGGGCGGUGGAGUCUCUGCGAUCAUCCGGGGCCAGUGCAGCCCAACAAGGGAGCGGUAGGACUCAAAGAAGUAAUUGUGAAAUAUGUGUGGACUGAAUCCUUACUUGGUCCUUGUAUUUUGGAGAUCCUUGAUUCGUCUGAGCCCUUGAGUCAGGCAGCACACUUGAGGUUUCUGGACGGGACCUGCCCUUUGCAGCCUUUGUCUUUGGAGGCCUUCAUUUGAGUUUAUAGAUGGCCCAGCCCUUGGUUCUUGGAGAAGGUCACCGCUUCCUUAGAACAGAGCAGCUCUUGAGGUAAGAAGGGAUAAUCCUCAGGAAACCCAUCUGGAAGAUCACCCCUCCAUCUCAGACCUCUCACCAGGGCCUCAGAACAGAGGCAGAAGAGGCCCAGGAAAGACUAUGCCAGAACUGCCUGGACAGAAGUAAUCCUUGGUCCUCCUACCCAGAAUGGGCAACACUGGGUGAUGUCACCACAUCCAGAAUUCCGGACUGUCUAGCGAUCAGCUUCAGAACUGAGGUGAGGCUGGCAGCACCGCCGAGGGCCCCUCACAGGAGGCUUUGUGAGGACACAGUCCAAGAAAAGGAGUCACCACCCGCAGAAGGGGACAUUGCCCCUUUGCCUGCCCUCAUCAGCCCCAGUCCCUUCGCUCUGCGCUUACUCUCCGCACAACCUAGAGAGAUGCUCCAUUACGCCUGCUGUUCUGAUGCUGUACCUUUACAGUUCUCUUCAGUUUUCCAAGAGCAACAGGAAAUGAACAAGUCACCGACAAGAAGGGACAGCUCUUCCCUACAGAAGAAUUCCAAUGAAUAAAUAUGGAAGGAAUGAAGAAAAUAGAAAUAUUACCACUAGAACACCAUCGGAAUCAUUGUUGCAGGAAAGAUCCUUUAAUGGAGGCUCAGAUUAGGUUUGAGGAGAACAGGAUAUAUGCAUAGACUCAAAGUAUCUUCUCCCCAAAAUAUUUAAUUACAGAUGGAAAGAUAGUAAGUUCACAGAAGAGAAAUCCUGCAGACACCACCUUAACCAAGUGAUCAACAUUAACGUCUGUGGUCGUAAGACAUUGUGAUACAUACUGAUACAAAAUUGGUAUUCUUGCCAGAAAUGCCUCAUCUCAACCUAAUCGUGAGAAAGCAUCAGAUAAAUCUAAGAGACUUUCUACAAAAUAACUGACCAGUGCUGUUUGGAAGUGUCAAGGUCAUGGAAGACAAGAAAAGACAGGAACUGUCACAGUUUGGAGUGUGGAAUCCUGGAUUCGAUCUUGGGACAGAAAAAGGAUAUUAAUGAAAAAAUUGGUAACAUCUGAAUAAAGGCUAUAGUUUGGUUAAUAG
Molecule: long non-coding RNA, 1460 nt
Filed under: Equus asinus (donkey)
Lineage: Eukaryota; Metazoa; Chordata; Mammalia; Perissodactyla; Equidae
Description: lncRNA (ENSEASG00005034817.1)
Source: RNAcentral